GGGCGGCGGGAGAUAGGGCUGGGCUGUCAACUCGGGCGUCCCACCAUCUGCUCUCCUGCUCUCUCGCGGAUUCAUUACCUAGGUGAGAAACCUCAGACAUCCCUCAGACACUGCUCUCCCAACCCUGGUCUGCUCUCCAACAGCGAAGCCUGGUGUGCAGCAAAAGAAGAGCUGUUCAAGUGUGUGCUUCUUACAGAAGGCAGAAGAUGCAUUAUUGUCCUUCCUUGGUCAGACCUGCUUGUCCAUCUGUUUUGCCACCAUGCAUGGAACAAUGAGAUCCUCACCAAAAGCUGAGAAGAUACCAGCACUAUGUCCUUGGACUUUCCAGCCUUC
Molecule: long non-coding RNA, 333 nt
Organism: Marmota flaviventris (yellow-bellied marmot)
Lineage: Eukaryota; Metazoa; Chordata; Mammalia; Rodentia; Sciuridae
Source: RefSeq, a predicted model, not a curated record